ACAAAGGACAUUUAAAUAGAUUAGACACCAAGCAGUAACCCUGAAAACAAGUGAUUUCUCUCAGAUAUUUCGCGCUAAGAAACUCAAGGUGUAUUUAAGCCAAUUCCAGUUUCUUGCAUUCUUUCCUCCAAAAAGGGGAGAGAAGAACAGUUGUUGUCUAGUUAAACUCAACUCUUAGCUCUUUUAUGGUUGUCCAUUCUGAUAAAUAUUUUCAUGUAAGACCUCCUAUGAAGUAGUUACAUUCACAUCUCUCUUGUGAAGCCUCAACACAUGCUGUGCAGUGACUAAAAGUAUUUGUUCUUUAGAAAAAAAGCAAUUACCCAUAAAGUACGCAUCCUGACCUCUCUCUCUCAUCUUCACUGCAUCACAGCAGAAAGAACAUUUUGUUUUCAUAUCUGAUUAUGUUGUAAAACUGACGUUAGCCCUGAAACAAAUGAUAGCUCUGAAACUGAAGACAUCAUUUAUCUGCAGGAACAAAAACAAGCAAAGCAGCAGCCGCGCAAGUCUUGACAAAAGUAGCUUCUGUAGCCAGUUCUAUUCUUUCAAUUCCAAGGUAGAAAAACCAAGGAGUCAACCGUUAAGAAAUGCCUUCUACAUCCUACUAAGAAUGAAGCUCAAGGCCAAGGUGCAGGAAACGCACAAAGGUAUUCCACAGGAGAGACAGAGCAUGUUAUGAUGCUAUAGUGUGAUAGAAAGCACAGCAAUAAAAGCAGGGUGGCAAAGUCUCAAGCUACAAAUGAGGAUAAGCCCAAGCACAGCAGCUACAGACACAGAAACAAAGGGAAAAAGCUUACCCUCGAAAGGUCUCUGGUACACAGAGAUAUCCAACAAGAUCCCUUCGCUUCCCCAUCAACCCUUAAGUAAGGUCUGAGAAGGGGUGCAUUCUGGCUCCACCCCUUCCAUCACUCAGGUACAUUGCAUGCACCUAAGCUCUUCUGGGUUGGCCCUGUCUUCCCACCAGGUGCUCAAUCACUGUUUUAAGCCAUGACUCAGCAUUUCUGCUAUGCAUGUACACACAGCCAUCUCCAGCCACUUUCUGCAGCACAGUUAGGACUUUUGUUAAACAAAACAAAAAAGCAGUGACCAAUGAACUUAUGUGAUCGAUUAUAAGUGUUUGUUUUAAUUUUUUUUCUUUUAAAUUUAGAUAAUCUAAUGUUCCUAAAAUAAGUUGGUACUUUGGUUCCUAAUGACAUAACGUUGUUGCAUGAACUUGCAAUCUAUUAUUUCAUUUAUGUGGUAGGUCAGCUUACCCUGUACUCUCAGUGAGACAGAAUACAGCCUUAUUAGUUACUGUACAAAUACAGACCACACAGAAUGCUAAAGGUGAAGAAAGGCAGUUUACUAGUAGAUAGUUAUAGUGCCUACAUUAUGAUCAAAGGGGAAAUUUCGUACCUAGAAAAUCUUUUCCAUCCUGCAAGUUGCGUGGGCUUACUAGACAGGGAGAACAUGUGCUGUCAAAUAUUCUUCUGGCAGUAGUUUAAAAAAAAAAAAACAACAAAGGAGGAAAAAAAGAACAGAAAAAAAAAAGGACAAACAUAAUUUUAAAAACAUCACUAACAACUUAGCUGCUAGUUUGUGAUAUUGCAUGGAAUAAGAAUAAGCUGGCAGAGAACCAUUAGAAAUAUAAGACAAGGGCCAGGCUUUCUGUAAAGCUGUGGAAAAUUUGCCAAAUUUGGCAGAACUGCUUUAGACUCGUGUGCAAGGCAACUGGUGCAGCAUACUACAAAUACAUCAUCUUUCAGUAUAAACUAGAAAAAAUGCAGUGAAAAAGUGACUACUCAUGUCAAAGAACUGAUUUAUGGCAUUGCUUUAGAGAGAACAGUAGAUUUUGAUAGAUCCAUUAUCUAUUGGCUAGGAAAUCACCCUGUCAAUGACAUGUAUGGGAAUACUGUUCAUUUAAUUGGUAGUGCAUACCGAUCAAUUCCAAAGUAUAACAUUUCCUUAUUAGCUCUAGAUUACAGUACUGCUGCAAAUGCUUAUGUGAUGCUGUAAAUACCCUGAAAUUAUAUAGCACUAUCAAGGGAAGCACUCACAAGGAAGUUGGAAAGUUUUGCAGAGUGCAACAGAAAAUGCAGCAGGGAGCAGUCACAAAACACAGCCCAGUGGGUCAGCAGCACUGUCAGCAGAUGAUGCCCUGUAUUCCAGGAUUCACAAAACACUCCUCAAAGUUCUGGAACUACUGGGAAAAAAAAAAAAAGGGGGGGGGGGGGGCAGGGAGAGGAAACUCAUGUAUGCCCAUGCCAUGCAAUUUCUACAUUUUGUGACCAAUCACUGAGGAGUGGCACUCAUUUCAGCAGCUCUCAAACAUUUCCAGGCAGUCCCUUAGAUCUCCAGGAUUUGUAGAUCUGAACACUCUCCUCCAAGCUUCUAACCAGUUUGAGCCUGAAUGCACUGUCUGCUGGCUUAACUUGGCAAAGCACAAGAAUAGAACUCCUGCAGUAGGGAAGAUCAUAAUAUUUGCAUAUCAUUCAGUGAUGAAGUGCCUGACAAAUCAAAUGGUAUCAAAGUAAAGAAAGUCAGAUAUCAGAUACAAAUUAAAUUACAUGGAAUAAAAGCCAACUCUGUAAGUUGUUAAUCUAUCCUGUGUUAGAAAUUCAAUAAGUUAGUUAACAAAUCUAAACUGUCAUUUUCUUUCACAGCUUUAGCCUGUUAGGGCUCAUUUAAAGCUUCCAAACCACAUUCAGCAAUAUUUCUGGCCUUGCGUUUUCCACCAAGUCUAGUCACCUGCAUGGAAUAGGUGAUCUAUCCUGAAAUGCACUGCUUUCUCUCCUGGAGACAUAGAACAUACCACAGUCAUGCUUUAGACACUCUCUCCUUCACAUUUCCAGGGUAUAGAAGAGAACGAAGCAUC
Molecule: non-coding RNA, 2851 nt
Organism: Phasianus colchicus (ring-necked pheasant)
Lineage: Eukaryota; Metazoa; Chordata; Aves; Galliformes; Phasianidae
Source: RefSeq, a predicted model, not a curated record